RNAcentral lists this non-coding RNA (164 nucleotides) under Enterococcus avium. Lineage: Bacteria; Bacillati; Bacillota; Bacilli; Lactobacillales; Enterococcaceae. The record is from RNAcentral.
CACGAGGCUGUAGCUGAAGGAAGUCCGAUGCAAACUCAUGAACUGACGAACAGAAACUGGAUAUAAGGCUGAAUUAGAUCGGAUAAGGUUGCUGAACAAACUAAAGUCCAAUACUGCUUAAAACCUAUACAGUAAAUCCAGCAGUUACAUGGGAGGGAAGUUUU